This 333-nucleotide ribosomal RNA is filed under the name uncultured bacterium. Its description in RNAcentral is "bacterial SSU rRNA". It matches the Rfam family "Bacterial small subunit ribosomal RNA", at positions 568 to 899 of the family's 1533-position model. The record is from RNAcentral.
UGCGUAGGCGGUUUGGUAAGUCUUGUGUGAAAUCUAUGGGCUCAACUCAUAGUCUGCACGAGAAACUGCCGGGCUUGAGUGUGGGAGAGGUGAGUGGAAUUUCCGGUGUAGCGGUGAAAUGCGUAGAUAUCGGAAGGAACACCUGUGGCGAAAGCGGCUCACUGGACCACAACUGACGCUGAUGCACGAAAGCUAGGGGAGCAAACAGGAUUAGAUACCCUGGUAGUCCUAGCCCUAAACGAUGACUGCUUGGUGUGACGGGUACCCAAUCCCGCCGUGCCGUAGCUAACGCGUUAAGCAGUCCGCCUGGGGAGUACGGUCGCAAGGCUAGAA